GAAUUGCGAUAAGUAAUGUGAAACGCGAAGCGUGAAUCAUCGAAUCCUUGAACGCACAUGGCGCUGGCGGUCCCCAGCCGCCAGUACGCCUGUUUGAGCGUCGUCCCUUCCUUCUCACCCCCCUCCCCCACCAUUCUGACGGAUGUGCGGUGCGGUGCAGGGUGGACGUUGGGCAUUGAAGAGCCUCCAUGCAGUGGUGGUCGUUCUUCAUUGCUUGAAGAGGAGUGCUUGGUCCCUCCGGCAAAUGUGGGCCGCAGAGCAAUCUGGCAACUCUCUGCGACCGUACAACGGAGAGGGAGGGGCUAGCAAGCGCACAUGGCUAGGAGGGUACCUGCCCUGGUGCAACUGCCUGCCAUUAUAAGCCCAUCCUCAUACGACCUCAAAUCAGGCGAGGCUACCCGCUGAACUUAA
RNAcentral lists this unclassified non-coding RNA (411 nucleotides) under uncultured Meliniomyces. Its description in RNAcentral is "sequence contains ITS1". The stretch from base 1 to 103 matches the Rfam family "5.8S ribosomal RNA", at positions 50 to 154 of the family's 154-position model. Lineage: Eukaryota; Fungi; Ascomycota; Leotiomycetes; Helotiales; Helotiaceae. The record is from RNAcentral.